AACGAACGCUGGCGGCAGGCCUAACACAUGCAAGUCGAGCGCGCCCUUCGGGGUGAGCGGCGGACGGGUGAGUAACGCGUGGGAACGUGCCCUUUUCUACGGAAUAGCCUCGGGAAACUGAGAGUAAUACCGUAUACGCCCUUUGGGGGAAAGAUUUAUCGGAAAAGGAUCGGCCCGCGUUGGAUUAGGUAGUUGGUGGGGUAAUGGCCUACCAAGCCGACGAUCCAUAGCUGGUUUGAGAGGAUGAUCAGCCACACUGGGACUGAGAUACGGCCCAGACUCCUACGGGAGGCAGCAGUGGGGAAUCUUAGACAAUGGGGGCAACCCUGAUCUAGCCAUGCCGCGUGAGUGAUGAAGGCCUUAGGGUUGUAAAGCUCUUUCAGCUGGGAAGAUAAUGACGGUACCAGCAGAAGAAGCCCCGGCUAACUCCGUG
This 433-nucleotide ribosomal RNA is filed under the name uncultured bacterium. Its description in RNAcentral is "partial 16S ribosomal RNA". It matches the Rfam family "Bacterial small subunit ribosomal RNA", at positions 29 to 507 of the family's 1533-position model. The record is from RNAcentral.